Long non-coding RNA from Bubalus bubalis (water buffalo), 558 nucleotides. RefSeq lists it as uncharacterized. The record is from RefSeq and is a predicted model, not a curated record. The transcript is spliced from 2 exons. Lineage: Eukaryota; Metazoa; Chordata; Mammalia; Artiodactyla; Bovidae.
GAUGAAGAGAGCAAUUCACCCACCAAGUUAUCCUGCGUGUUAGCUUUCUCCCUCAUUUCUUCAGAUACUGACUUCUUCCAACCCCCUCACUCCCAGGGCUUGCUCUGUUCAUCCACUUGGGUGGUCCUCUGGAGAGCAACUGAACUACACCAAUCUCUUUCUGAUCCCACAGGGGACCUUGAAAAGUCACCAUUCUUUCUCAAGAGCUUUCCUGUUUCAAAUAACCCCAUUUUCAUCCACAUUGUACAUAGCAGGUCAACCCAGAUCAGAAAUCUACCUGCCAUCCCCCCACCACCUUUGUGAUUUUUUUCCUAGAACGUUCCUAAUCCCCUCUCUGCACAAAUCUAUACAUCAUUUUCCCAGAGUCUCAAGAAAUGGAUUCCUGGAAAUGUGCAUGUGUGUUACUUAAUCACGCAGCUGCAGCAUGGGGAUACAGAAAGCCUCGUCCAUCUCAGAAGACUGUGGCUUGAUCUCAACGAUAAGAACAUCCCUGUCACUGGAAUCCACGGCUCAAGGGGCCUGCUUUGCUUCUCAAGGAUGCUAAGUUCUUAAACCCAG